Molecule: non-coding RNA, 106 nt
Organism: Citrus sinensis (sweet orange)
Lineage: Eukaryota; Viridiplantae; Streptophyta; Magnoliopsida; Sapindales; Rutaceae
Source: Rfam
CUGUCCCCUGGAGUUCCCCUAACCACUUCACUAAUCACUAGAGUGGGGAUCUUUGCUACCGGGCCUCUACAUAUAUUGAAGUGUUUGGAGGAACUCUGGGUGCCAC